This 253-nucleotide ribosomal RNA is filed under the name uncultured bacterium. RNAcentral's name for it is "partial 16S ribosomal RNA". It matches the Rfam family "Bacterial small subunit ribosomal RNA", at positions 524 to 776 of the family's 1533-position model. The record is from RNAcentral.
UACGAAGGGUGCAAGCGUUACUCGGAAUUACUGGGCGUAAAGCGUGCGUAGGUGGUUCGUUAAGUCUGUCGUGAAAGCCCCGGGCUCAACCUGGGAAUGGCGAUGGAUACUGGCGGGCUAGAGUGCGGUAGAGGAGAGUGGAAUUCCCGGUGUAGUGGUGAAAUGCGUAGAUAUCGGGAGGAACACCAGUGGCGAAGGCGGCUUUCUGGCCUGUUCUUGACGCUGAGGCGCGAAAGCUAGGGGAGCAAACGGG